CGAGAAUUUUUCACAAUGGGCGCAAGCCUGAUGGAGCGACGCCGCGUGGGGGAUGAAUGGCUUCGGCCCGUAAACCCCUGUCAUUUGCGAUCAAACCUUGCUAUUUAAAAGAUGGCGAGCUGAUAGUAGCGAAAGAGGAAGGGACGGCUAACUCUGUGCCAGCAGCCGCGGUAAUACAGAGGUCCCAAGCGUUGUUCGGAUUCACUGGGCGUAAAGGGUGCGUAGGUGGUGGGGUAAGUCGGAUGUGAAAUCUCGGAGCUCAACUCCGAAAUGGCAUUGGGAACGACCCAGCUAGAGGGUCGGAGGGGGGACUGGAAUUCUCGGUGUAGCAGUGAAAUGCGUAGAUAUCGAGAGGAACACCAGUGGCGAAGGCGAGUCCCUGGACGACUCCUGACACUGAGGCACGAAAGCUAGGGGAGCAAACA
RNAcentral lists this ribosomal RNA (425 nucleotides) under uncultured bacterium. RNAcentral's name for it is "bacterial SSU rRNA". It matches the Rfam family "Bacterial small subunit ribosomal RNA", at positions 356 to 774 of the family's 1533-position model. The record is from RNAcentral.